UGGGGAAUAUUGCACAAUGGGCGCAAGCCUGAUGCAGCCAUGCCGCGUGUGUGAAGAAGGCCUUCGGGUUGUAAAGCACUUUCAGCGAGGAGGAAGGUGGUGGACUUAAUACGUCAUCAAUUGACGUUACUCGCAGAAGAAGCACCGGCUAACUCCGUGCCAGCAGCCGCGGUAAUACGGAGGGUGCAAGCGUUAAUCGGAAUUACUGGGCGUAAAGCGCACGCAGGCGGUUUGUUAAGUCAGAUGUGAAAUCCCCGGGCUCAACCUGGGAACUGCAUUUGAAACUGGCAAGCUAGAGUCUCGUAGAGGGGGGUAGAAUUCCAGGUGUAGCGGUGAAAUGCGUAGAGAUCUGGAGGAAUACCGGUGGCGAAGGCGGCCCCCUGGACGAAGACUGACGCUCAGGUGCGAAAGCGUGGGGCAGCAAACAGGAUUAGAUACCCUGGUA
RNAcentral lists this ribosomal RNA (445 nucleotides) under uncultured bacterium. RNAcentral's name for it is "partial 16S ribosomal RNA". It matches the Rfam family "Bacterial small subunit ribosomal RNA", at positions 355 to 792 of the family's 1533-position model. The record is from RNAcentral.